This is a long non-coding RNA of Solanum lycopersicum (tomato), 486 nucleotides long. RefSeq lists it as uncharacterized. The record is from RefSeq and is a predicted model, not a curated record. NCBI's taxonomy places the organism in Eukaryota, Viridiplantae, Streptophyta, Magnoliopsida, Solanales, Solanaceae.
UUAUCUUUCUCUCUCUCUCUCCUCAUCUGCACUUCAAUCUAUUCGCAUGGAUCUCCGGAGUGCAUGGGAUGCAAUUAUGUUAUUUUAUUUCAUCAAUAUUUUUUCGGUCAAUCUUUUCUGUUCUUUAUUUUUUAACACACAACUAUUUGAUCAACCUUUGGUUAAACCAAAUCUCAAACACUGACAUUAUUACCAAAUCAAUGAAAUCAUUAAUUUUGCAAUAUAAUGGUUAGAUGGAGGAAUUAUGAAGAUGUUGAUAUACGAUCCAAGUUCUGUAUUCUGACAUUGGCGAACAAAAUUAAGGAGUUGGAAACUGAUGAUGAAAGUUAUAUUAAAAGAAAUAACAAAUGGGUGAUGAUGAAGAAGAAGAAGAACACCAAAUGUUGUAACAACUAGAAGCUAAUCUUCGUGUUGUUUGUUGUGAUUUUUUUCUAUUUUUUAAGCAUUACAAAGAAAAUAUUAUUAAGAAUGGAAAAUUUUUAUGUA